CUUAUAGAAAGAGCGACGGGCGAUUUGUGCAUGCUAAAUUUCUUUUUUCAACUUUAAUUUAAUUUUUAAUUUUUAAUACUAAGUCCUUUUUCUAUUAUCAUCCUUUUUAUUUGCACUUAAUUUAUAAAUUUGUAUCCCAUGGCCCCUUAGGCAUAAGCUCUGUCUUGAUUUGUCUUUAGAUUAUCCUUAAUUUUAAAAAAAAAUUCUCAAAAAUUUUUUUUGAGACAAUGAUAUAGAGGCUUAAAGUCUAAGUUUCCUCGAUCGUGGUUUAUCUAUUCUGAAACAGGAUCCCCUAUUAAGGUUGAGCACCGCCAUCUUUUACUAAGUUUCAUUUAUUUAACUACUAUUUUUUCUUUUUUUAGAA
This 364-nucleotide ribosomal RNA is filed under the name Abacarus floridulus. Its description in RNAcentral is "partial small subunit ribosomal RNA". The record is from RNAcentral. Lineage: Eukaryota; Metazoa; Arthropoda; Arachnida; Trombidiformes; Eriophyidae.